RNAcentral lists this long non-coding RNA (2038 nucleotides) under Mus musculus (house mouse). Its description in RNAcentral is "long non-coding RNA chr4:85105199-85107237". The record is from RNAcentral. Lineage: Eukaryota; Metazoa; Chordata; Mammalia; Rodentia; Muridae.
UGCUUGUAUGUGAGAGUCAUAUGCCAGGCGCCAUUUUCUCAGAAUUUUUUGUUGUUGUUUGUAACAAAAAAAAAAAAAAAAAAAAAAAAAAGCCAUGCCAGCCAAACAACGGCAUCUAGCUGGAACAUGUGCAUGGCUUCCUUAUCAAUGUAUAUUUUUGUUUGGUAACAUUUACUUUGAUUCCUGGGGUAUAUGCACUCCUUUCCUCUUUAGUGUAGGCAUUUGUUGAGCAUUCCAAUUUUUUGUUUACAUUUUCAUGGUUAAUAUUUAGGCACUGAUCUAUUUUUUAAUUAGGAUUUUUAAACACUUCUGUAAUAUAAUCAUCUUGAACUCACUUAAUCUUUGUCUCACUAAAGGAAAAUUGGAGCUUUUAAAAGGAAAAAGUUUUAAUAAGAACAUAUUAACUGGUGAACUUUAAACUCUAUAAACUAUACCUCAGCAAACCUGUUGAAAUGCUGUUAAGAGACAGGCACAACUCUGAAUUACGUGUCAACCUGGCAGCACCUUGGGAUUCUCCUAGUGAAAGGGGCCAUUCCUUGACCUAGAACCAAGAAUUCAAGCCUCUUCAGAAUUUUUCAAAAGGCUGUUAAAUGCAUUAUUUCAUUGGGAAACCAUGAUAAGAAUGAUGACUUCAGAGUUUUUAAGUAAAAGUCAAGAUCAUAUGUUAUUAGCUAAUACAUUCAAGACUCACAAAUAAGACUAGAAAACUUUAAGAAAAUAAAGCUGGGAAAGUAGAUCUAGUAAGAGUAGAAUAUUAUGGUUUCCUGGUUACUGCACAGGACUGCUGGUUAUAGUAAAUGAUCAUAAUUGAAAACUGAGUAGCUGUGUGUUGGCAUGUCCAUCUAAGAAAGUAGUUUCAUUUUUAAAAUGUACUCUGAUAUUGAGACAAUUGGAGAUCAUUAUAAAGGUUUCAUGUUGCCAUAUUUGGGUAAUUUGCAAAGAAAAUUGUGUGUCCCUAAUAAUAUGCUAAGAGCAAUGCUUGAAGGAAGUUUGGAAAUACAAAAGGGAAUUGAUGAGACGAUUACUUUCCCAUAGUAUGCUUAAUCUAUAGUAUAUUCAUAAAUCAGUAAUUCAAAAUAGAAAGGAUACUUUCUUUUGAAAUCAUCUAUAACAUUCACAAAGACUAUUUUAUAUCCUUCCUCAACAAAUUCAUAAAGGCAAAAGUUAUUUUCACUAUCUAUUAUCAGUAUGCUAUAAUAUAAUCAUGCUUUAACAAAAUAGCUAUCAAAAUAUAUCUACUUUAAAAAAUUUGAAACUCUCUGACUUGGGACUUAGAUAGACCUAACAUUGAGUUCUUCACACAGAAGAGUGUGAGCAUCUAAAUUAACUUUCAGUGUAAGAUGCUAGACAAAGAAAUCAACAGAAAUGGAAUUAGGGAGUUACAUCACUUCCCUUGUGGCUUCAACAAAAUACCCGUCAGAAGCAACUUAGUGGGGGAAGGAGGGUUUGCUUGCCUUACAGGUUGUAAGUAGGCCUGUUUAAGAGUCUUGAGGUACUUCUGUACUGGUUUCCACAGUAGUUGUACAAGUUUACAUUCCUCCAUUUCUCCAUAUCCUCCUGACAUUGGAUGAAAGCCAUUUUGACUGGAAACUCAGUUUUAAUUUGCAUUUCCCUGAUAGCUAAGGAUAUUGGACAUUUUUUUUCAAAUACUUAUCUUGAUAAUUUAUAUUUGUUUUUUGGAACUAUUUAUUCAAUUCAUUAGAUCAAUCAUUGACUGGAUAAUUAGGGGUGUGUCUGUGUGUGUGUGGUGGUGGUGUUGUUGAGUUUGUUGCCUUAUCUGUAACUGUAAGGACAAAUGUUUAUAGACUGGUAUUAGGGAAGAGACUAGUUUAGUAUAUCCGUGAUUGUAGAUUCUCCUCCAAUCACCAAAAAUUCACCAGCACUGAGGAGUAAGCCAGGUUUCCAGUACCAGACAAGGAGCGAUUCAGACAAGUCCUCUCAGAUAAGUGAGUGAAGUACAAGGAAACAUGGCAGGGGAUUAUAUGAAAUUAGGAAGCAACAGGAAGAAAGUGUGCAACCUGUCAAGGAAACAGAAACC